RNAcentral lists this ribosomal RNA (461 nucleotides) under uncultured bacterium. Its description in RNAcentral is "bacterial SSU rRNA". It matches the Rfam family "Bacterial small subunit ribosomal RNA", at positions 29 to 506 of the family's 1533-position model. The record is from RNAcentral.
ACGAACGCUGGCGGUGCGCCUAAUGCAUGCAAGUCGAACGGACGACCCCGGCUUGCCGGGGAAGUUAGUGGCAAACGGCUGAGUAACACGUAAGUAACCUGUCCUGAAGCGGGGGAUAAGCCGGAGAAAUCCGGCCUAAUACCCCGUACGCUCCGGUGGCUGCGGCCACUGGAGGAAAGGCUUCGGUCGCUUCAGGAGGGGCUUGCGGCCUAUCAGGUAGUUGGUGGGGUAACGGCCUACCAAGCCGAAGACGGGUAGCCGGUGUGAGAGCAUGAUCGGCCAGAGGGGGACUGAGACACGGCCCCCACUCCUACGGGAGGCAGCAGCAGGGAAUCUUGCGCAAUGGGCGAAAGCCUGACGCAGCGACACCGCGUGGGGGAAGAAGGCCUUCGGGUUGUAAACCCCUUUUCUCGGGGAAGAGUAAGGACGGUACUUGAGGAAUAAGGAUCGGCUAACUACGU